UUUCCGUAGGUGAACCUGCGGAAGGAUCAUUAUUGUAUAACCGAGGUGCGAGGGCCGUCGCUGACCCGAAAGGUCGUGCACGCCCGAGUGCCCUCACACACAUCCAUCUCACCCCUAUGUGCACCACCGCGUGGGUCCCCCUUUGGCUUGUUCGGAGGGGGGCUUACGUUUUCACACAAACUUUGUAUGCAGAGUAGAAUGUAUUUUUUGUUUUUGCGAUCACGCAAUCAAUACAACUUUCAACAACGGAUCUCUUGGCUCUC
RNAcentral lists this unclassified non-coding RNA (263 nucleotides) under plant metagenome. RNAcentral's name for it is "partial contains small subunit ribosomal RNA, internal transcribed spacer 1, and 5.8S ribosomal RNA". The record is from RNAcentral.